UAAGGAAUAUUGGGCAAUGGAGGCAACUCUGACCCAGCCAUGCCGCGUGCAGGAAGACGGCCCUACGGGUUGUAAACUGCUUUUAAUAGGGAGUAAUGUUAGUUACGAGUAACUAAUUGCAAGUACCUAUAGAAUAAGGAUCGGCUAACUACGUGCCAGCAGCCGCGGUACUACGGAGGAUCCAAGCGUUAUCCGGAUUUAUUGGGUUUAAAGGGUGCGCAGGCGGACUAAUAAGUCAGUGGUGAAAUCUACAUGCUUAACAUGUAAUGUGCCAUUGAUACUGUGAGACUAGUAUGCAAAUGAGGUAGCUGGAAUGGGUUAUGUAGCGGUGAAAUGCUUAGAUAUAACACAGAACACCGAUCGUGAAGACAGGUUACGAAUUUGUUAUAGACGCUCAUGCACGAAAGCGUGGGGAUCAAACA
Molecule: ribosomal RNA, 422 nt
Filed under: uncultured prokaryote
Description: bacterial SSU rRNA
Rfam family: Bacterial small subunit ribosomal RNA
Source: RNAcentral